GGGGAAGUGAGCUUAGGCAGCAGGGAGAGAGUGAGCACUUCCUCAGCCUGCAGCCAGAAUCUGCUACCUAACAGAAAAAGGACAGUGGGAUUUUCCGUGCAACAGAGACUGAGUGUGACUGCUGGGGGAGAAAGCAGGCGGAGAGAUUAGACAUGUCUGAUGCUGACAGAAAGCAUGUUUGUGCUUAAUACAUUGGAGAAAUUGUUCAGGAGCAAUCCAGCCGUGUGAAAAUAUGACCCUUGAAAUACUGCCAAGGGCCAGCUUGCGGAAGAAGGAAUUGUGGCUCUUCCUGCCUGCAAA
RNAcentral lists this long non-coding RNA (300 nucleotides) under Gallus gallus (chicken). RNAcentral's name for it is "long non-coding RNA NONGGAT008445". Lineage: Eukaryota; Metazoa; Chordata; Aves; Galliformes; Phasianidae. The record is from RNAcentral.